UUUCUCUCUUCUCAGUGCUGCAAUGGCAGCUACUGCUGGCUGCCUUGGCAGCCCACUCUCUCCUACAUUUCUCACAUCUUUGGCUCUUCUUUCCUUCUCUCAACUCUCUCAUUUUGCUCUCAACCGUAUGCCUCUAUUUAUAGGCAUCCAUGGUGCUGCUCCAUUUGUUCUUUGGUCAAUAAUGGUGGCUGCCAACUCCAGCUCUUCUUCAACAAAGGUGGCUGCCAACUCCAGCUCUUCUUCAACAAUGGUGGCUGCACCUAGCAGCCCUCUUUGACAAUGGCAAUGGCAGCCAUCCUCUUCUAGAAGAUAGGCUGUAAAUGCUCUAUGAUUGCUGCACAUAAUGGCAACAAUCCUAACAGCUAAUCGCUGGCCUUUUAUAGGGGCAGAACCAACUGGUUGUUCCCCAGUACCGAGUACGCCUCUUCUUUCCUUUGCAGAGGAUAAGUCCUUCGGGGACUUGGAUAUGGGACUCAAUCCUUAUCUCCCCCGGUGUUUAUCUCCAUGUGGAUACUCUUGAAACCCCGUGUUUUGGGUAGAUUGGGACACCAACAGUCCUGCAGCUGCUGGACUGUUGGUGGUGGUUUCUUCCCCGUCUCAAAGACCUGCUAACUGGAGGGAAUAAUCUGAGAAAUGGCGAUAGAAAUCGUGGAGAUUGUCUGUUCGUUUGUGGUGGCAAUUAAUGUUCUUCCUCUCCUUCUUUGCAGGGAGUUUCUUCUGUUCUUAGAGGAAGAAGACGAUAACCAGAAUUGAAAAACGGCGCCGUUUCUGGACUUGGCGGCCGUUUUUCAAUCUGGUCCUCCUAGUUUCAACAGUUUGUAAUCGGGCCCCUAGACAGAAGUUUGGUUCCUUUUACAAAAUGGUCCCCGAAC
This 872-nucleotide long non-coding RNA is filed under the name Populus trichocarpa (black cottonwood). RNAcentral's name for it is "long non-coding RNA (PTRI_LNC004577)". Lineage: Eukaryota; Viridiplantae; Streptophyta; Magnoliopsida; Malpighiales; Salicaceae. The record is from RNAcentral.